This 432-nucleotide unclassified non-coding RNA is filed under the name soil metagenome. RNAcentral's name for it is "partial contains 5.8S ribosomal RNA, internal transcribed spacer 2, and large subunit ribosomal RNA". The stretch from base 1 to 120 matches the Rfam family "5.8S ribosomal RNA", at positions 35 to 154 of the family's 154-position model. The record is from RNAcentral.
GAUGAAGAACGCAGCGAAAUGCGAUACGUAAUGUGAAUUGCAGAAUUCAGUGAAUCAUCGAAUCUUUGAACGCAUAUUGCGCUCUCUGGUAUUCCGGAGAGCAUGCUUGUUUGAGUAUCAGUAAACACCUCAACUUCCAUAUCUUUUUUGAAAUGGGAGUUGGACUUGAGUGAUCCCAACGCUUUUCCUCACCGAAAAGUGGCGGGUUACUUGAAAUGCAGGUGCAGCUGGACUUUUCUCUGAGCUAUAAGCAUAUCUAUUUAGUCUGCCUAAAAAACAGAUUAUUACCUUUGCUGCAGCUAACAUAAAGGAGAUUAGUUCUUGUGCUGACUGAUGCAGGAUUCACAAAGACAGUUUCGGCCGACUUUGUAAACUCGAUCUCAAAUCAAGUAAGACUACCCGCUGAACUUAAGCAUAUCAAUAAGCGGAGGA